CAGUAGCCGCGGUAAUACAGAGGUCUCAAGCGUUGUUCGGAUUCAUUGGGCGUAAAGGGUGCGUAGGUGGCCAUGUAAGUCUAAUGUGAAAUCUCGGGGCUUAACCCCGAAAUUGCAUCGGAUACUGCGUGACUAGAGGAUUGUAGAGGAGAUUGGAAUUCACGGUGUAGCAGUGAAAUGCGUAGAUAUCGUGAGGAAGACCAGUUGCGAAGGCGAAUCUCUGGGCAAUUCCUGACACUGAGGCACGAAGGCCAGGGGAGCAAACGGGAUUAGAGACCCCGGUAGUCCCUGUCUCUUAUAC
RNAcentral lists this ribosomal RNA (301 nucleotides) under uncultured bacterium. RNAcentral describes it as "partial 16S ribosomal RNA". It matches the Rfam family "Bacterial small subunit ribosomal RNA", at positions 509 to 807 of the family's 1533-position model. The record is from RNAcentral.